RNAcentral lists this ribosomal RNA (620 nucleotides) under uncultured Pseudomonadales bacterium. Its description in RNAcentral is "bacterial SSU rRNA". It matches the Rfam family "Bacterial small subunit ribosomal RNA", at positions 35 to 652 of the family's 1533-position model. Lineage: Bacteria; Pseudomonadati; Pseudomonadota; Gammaproteobacteria; Pseudomonadales. The record is from RNAcentral.
GCUGGCGGCAGGCCUACACAUGCAGUCGAGCGGUAGAGAGAAGCUUGCUUCUCUNGAGAGCGGCGGACGGGUGAGUAAUGCCUAGGAGUCUGCCUGGNANUGGGGGAUAACGCUCGGAAACGGACGCUAAUACCGCAUACGUCCUACGGGAGAAAGCAGGGGACCUUCGGGCCUUGCGCUAUCAGAUGAGCCUAGGUCGGAUUAGCUAGUUGGUGAGGUAAUGGCUCACCAAGGCGACGAUCCGUAACUGGUCUGAGAGGAUGGUCAGUCACACUGGAACUGAGACACGGUCCAGACUCCUACGGGAGGCAGCAGUGGGGGAUAUUGGACAAUGGGCGAAAGCCUGAUCCAGCCAUGCCGCGUGUGUGAAGAAGGUCUUCGGAUUGUAAAGCACUUUAAGNUGGGAGGAAGGGCAUUAACCUAAUACGUUAGUGUUUUGACGUUACCGACAGAAUAAGCACCGGCUAACUCUGUGCCAGCAGCCGCGGUAAUACAGAGGGUGCAAGCGUUAAUCGGAAUUACUGGGCGUAAAGCGCGCGUAGGUGGUUUGUUAAGUUGGAUGUGAAAUCCCCGGGCUCAACCCUGGGAACUGCAUUCAAACUGACAAGCUAGAGUAUGGG